CCUACGGGGGGCUGCAGUGGGGAAUAUUGGACAAUGGGGGCAACCCUGAUCCAGCCAUGCCGCGUGUGUGAAGAAGGCCCUCGGGUUGUAAACCACUUUCAGUGAGGAAGAACGCCUGGUGGUUAAUACCCAUCAGGAAAGACAUCACUCACAGAAGAAGCACCGGCUAACUCCGUGCCAGCAGCCGCGGUAAUACGGAGGGUGCGAGCGUUAAUCGGAAUUACUGGGCGUAAAGCGCGCGUAGGUGGCUUGAUAAGCCGGUUGUGAAAGCCCCGGGCUCAACCUGGGAACGGCAUCCGGAACUGUCAAGCUAGAGUGCAGGAGAGGAAGGUAGAAUUCCCGGUGUAGCGGUGAAAUGCGUAGAGAUCGGGAGGAAUACCAGUGGCGAAGGCGGCCUUCUGGACUGACACUGACACUGAGGUGCGAAAGCGUGGGUAGCAAACAGGAUUAGAUACCCGAGUAGUC
RNAcentral lists this ribosomal RNA (465 nucleotides) under Vreelandella stevensii. RNAcentral describes it as "partial 16S ribosomal RNA". It matches the Rfam family "Bacterial small subunit ribosomal RNA", at positions 338 to 795 of the family's 1533-position model. The record is from RNAcentral. Lineage: Bacteria; Pseudomonadati; Pseudomonadota; Gammaproteobacteria; Oceanospirillales; Halomonadaceae.